GACGCUACAAGCUUGGCACACAUGUAUUUGAGGAGUCUCUUCCAUUAUUCUCUGCAGAUCCUCUCAAGCUCUCUCAGGUUGGAUGGGGAGCGUGGCUGCACAGCUAUUUUCAGGUCUCUCCAGAGCUGUUAGAUCGGGUAUAAGUCUGGGCUCUGGUUGGGACACUCAAGAACAUUCAGAGACUUGUCUCAAAGCCACUCCUGCAUUGUCUUGGCUGUGUGCUUAGGGUCGUUGUCCUGUUGGAAGGUGAACCUUCGCCCCAGUCUGAGGUCCUGAGCGCUCUGGAGCAGGUUUUCAUCAAGGAUCUCUCUGUACUUUGCUCUGUUCAUCUUUGCCUCGAUCCUAACUAGUCUCCCAGUCCCUGCCGCUGAAAAACAUCCCCACAGCAUGCUGCUGCCACCACGCUUCACCGUAGGGAUGGUAACAGGUUUCCUCCAGACGUGAUGCUUGGCAUUCAGGCUAAAGAGUUCAAUCUUGGUUUCAUCAGACCAGAGAAUCUUGUUUCUCAUGGUCUGAGUGUAAGAACCGACACUGGAGUAGAGAAGCAGGUACGGUUAGUCAAACAUUUAAUCGGAACAGACAUGGAACAAGACAGGAACAGCGUCAGCACACGGGUAUACAAGGACAUAUGACAAUCAAUGCUGAAGCGGGGGAACAGCCAGAUAUAGGGGAGGUAAUGACAGAGGUGAUUGAGUCCAGGUGAGUCCAAUAAUCGCUGAUGCGCGUGACGGGGGAAGGCAGGUGUGCAUAAUGAUUGUGGCAUGAGUGCGUAAUGCUGGGAAGCAUGGCGCCCUCGUGUGCCAGGGGGGAAGAGCGGGAGCAUGCCUGACAUUGAGAGUCUUUAGGUGCCUUUUGGCAAACUCCAAGCGGGCUGUCAUGUGCCUUUUACUGAGGAGAGGCUUCCGUCUGGCCAGUUUAACAUAAAAGCCUGUUUGGUGGAGUGCUGCAGAGAUGGUUGUCCUUCUGGAAGUGUCUCCCAUUUCCACAGAGGAACUCUAGAGCUCUGUCAGAGUGGCCAUCGGGUUCUUGGACACCUCCCUGAGCAAGGGCCUUCUCCCCUGAUUGCUCAGUUUGGCCAGGGGGCCAGAUCUAAGAAGAGUCUUGGUGGUUCCAAACUUCUUCCAUUUAAGAAUGAUGGAGGCCACUGUGUUCUCGGGGACCUUCAAUGCUGCAGAAAUAUUUUGGUACCCUUCCCCAUAUCUGUGCCUCGACACAAUCCUGUCUCGGAGCUCUACGGAUAAUUCCUUCGACCUCAUGGCUUGGUUUUUGUACAGACAUGCACUGUCAACUGUGGGACCUUAUAUAGACAGGUGUGUGCCUUUCCAAAUCAUGUCCAAACAAUUGAAUUUACCACAAGUGGACUCCAAUCAAGUUGUAGAAACAUCUCCAAGGAUGAUCAAUGGAAACAGGAUGGAUCUGAGCUGCAUUUCGAGGCUCAUAAAGGGUCUGAAUACUUAUUUAUAUAAGCACAGCUUAGAAGCAGAAGGCAACAAACAGGCAGGUGCCCAGGCUAAGUGACUGUAUAAAAGCCAGCUAAGUGACUGUAUAAACGGCAGAAAAAUAUACAUUAAACCACCUGUAUUCUCCUAUGGAAAGGGACAUGUUUAGCCAGUAAACUCUGUAUCCCCCCCCCUUGCUCACUUGAACUGGUCCUUCUGCGCAAAACAACGAUGAGGAUGAUGACGAAGAAGGCCAUUGGGAUUAACACAAUAGCGAUUAUUUUUUCCUUGGAUAACCUGCCAGUGCCAUCAGGGGUCAUUGUGGGGGGAUUUGGAUCUGUGUGUGGGAGAAGAGGACAGGGGGAGCAGUUAAAGGACAAAGAAAACAAAUGAUCAUCAUCUAACACUGUUUAACACUAUUACUAUCUUCAGAUCAGACUUUUGGAAUUUCCUCCAUGAACAACAACGAAGUGUCUCUCACACACGAGCAAGAACUCAGUUUGUCUCUUUAUUCUCGGUGCACACGAUCUUGAGCUGAGCAUUGGUGUUCGGUGGGUUUCGGCACUCACCAGGACUCCCAGCAAAACCUCCAGGUCCACCUGUUGAAGACAAACACAUUUAGAAUACCCAGACUGCUGAUCUGUUAUGCAAUUUGCUCUUCUAAUGUAAAAUUACCACAAGAUAUGUUUUGUUUGAAAUACAGUUUGAAUAUUGAAUGGAACUCACCCGUCUGGACAGUUGAAACAAUGCCGGUGCAACCUGUAA
Molecule: long non-coding RNA, 2204 nt
Filed under: Salmo salar (Atlantic salmon)
Lineage: Eukaryota; Metazoa; Chordata; Actinopteri; Salmoniformes; Salmonidae
Description: lncRNA (ENSSSAG00000107406.1)
Source: RNAcentral